RNAcentral lists this ribosomal RNA (442 nucleotides) under uncultured bacterium. RNAcentral describes it as "partial 16S ribosomal RNA". It matches the Rfam family "Bacterial small subunit ribosomal RNA", at positions 338 to 795 of the family's 1533-position model. The record is from RNAcentral.
CCUACGGGGGGCUGCAGUGAGGAAUAUUGGUCAAUGGACGAGAGUCUGAACCAGCCAAGUAGCGUGAAGGAUGACUGCCCUAUGGGUUGUAAACUUCUGUUCUUAGUGAAGAAUAAUGACGGUAGCUAAGGAGCAAGCCACGGCUAACUACGUGCCAGCAGCCGCGGUAAUACGUAGGUGGCAAGCGUUGUCCGGAAUUACUGGGUGUAAAGGGAGCGCAGGCGGGAAGCCAAGUCAGCUGUGAAAACUACGGGCUUAACUUGUAGACUGCAGUUGAAACUGGUUUUCUUGAGUGAAGUAGAGGUUGGCGGAAUUCCGAGUGUAGCGGUGAAAUGCGUAGAUAUUAGGAGGAACACCGGUGGCGAAGGCGGCCAACGGGGCUUUAACUGACGCUGAGGCUCGAAAGUGUGGGGAGCAAACAGGAUUAGAUACCCCGGUAGUC